This 374-nucleotide ribosomal RNA is filed under the name uncultured organism. Its description in RNAcentral is "partial 16S ribosomal RNA". It matches the Rfam family "Bacterial small subunit ribosomal RNA", at positions 527 to 897 of the family's 1533-position model. The record is from RNAcentral.
GUAGGUGGCAAGCGUUGUCCGGAAUUAUUGGGCGUAAAGCGCGCGCAGGUGGUUCUUUAAGUCUGAUGUGAAAGCCCCCGGGCUCAACCGGGGAGGGUCAUUGGAAACUGGGGAACUUGAGUGCAGGAGAGGAAAGUGGAAUUCCACGUGUAGCGGUGAAAUGCGUAGAUAUGUGGAGGAACACCAGUGGCGAAGGCGACUUUCUGGCCUGUAACUGACACUGAGGCGCGAAAGCGUGGGGAGCAAACAGGAUUAGAUACCCUGGUAGUCCACGCCGUAAACGAUGAGUGCUAAGUGUUGGGGGGUUUCCGCCCCUCAGUGCUGCAGCUAACGCAUUAAGCACCCCGCCUGGGGAGUACGGUCGCAAAGACUGA